GUCACCUGAGGAAUGCCAGCGCAGGGAGUCAUGGUCUUUUUCAAAACUCGUGGAACCCUGGCGUUCACCAUGCCAGAAAUUCGUUUCCAGUCCCAUGUGCUUGAAAAGCAGUUCCCGAGGGAAGUGACUUUGGGAGUGGACCUCAAAUGCAGCCCCUCCUUACGCAGGGGAGGAAGACUGAUGGAAAUGGAACUGGACAGUUCAGACAAAUCUCAAGCCGGCUGUGAAACGCUCCUGAGAUCUUCCGAACUUGGUGAGCAUGAGAGACUCACCGCAACCUACCCAGAAAACGCCAGGCUAUUUAACAAGUAGUUUAGAUGCUGCCUCCGAAAGUUGAACCCUUUAUGUCUUUUUAACGGAUUUUUCAUUUCUUGAUAAAUAAUUGAAAUGUGUUAAAAAUUUAUUC
Non-coding RNA from Mus caroli (Ryukyu mouse), 406 nucleotides. NCBI's taxonomy places the organism in Eukaryota, Metazoa, Chordata, Mammalia, Rodentia, Muridae. The record is from RefSeq and is a predicted model, not a curated record.